This 206-nucleotide ribosomal RNA is filed under the name Klebsiella pneumoniae. Its description in RNAcentral is "partial 16S ribosomal RNA". It matches the Rfam family "Bacterial small subunit ribosomal RNA", at positions 1338 to 1533 of the family's 1533-position model. The record is from RNAcentral. Lineage: Bacteria; Pseudomonadati; Pseudomonadota; Gammaproteobacteria; Enterobacterales; Enterobacteriaceae.
GUAAUCGUAGAUCAGAAUGCUACGGUGAAUACGUUCCCGGGCCUUGUACACACCGCCCGUCACACCAUGGGAGUGGGUUGCAAAAGAAGUAGGUAGCUUAACCUUCGGGAGGGCGCUUACCACUUUGUGAUUCAUGACUGGGGUGAAGUCGUAACAAGGUAACCGUAGGGGAACCUGCGGUUGGAUCACCUCCUUACCUUAAAGAA